Molecule: ribosomal RNA, 468 nt
Filed under: uncultured bacterium
Lineage: Bacteria
Description: partial 16S ribosomal RNA
Rfam family: Bacterial small subunit ribosomal RNA
Source: RNAcentral
GAUGAACGCUGGCGGCGUGCUUAACACAUGCAAGUCGAACGGAAAGGCCCUGCUUUUGUGGGGUGCUCGAGUGGCGAACGGGUGAGUAACACGUGAGUAACCUGCCCUUUACUUUGGGAUAACUUCAGGAAACUGGGGCUAAUACCGGAUAGGAGUUCCUGCUGCAUGGUGGGGGUUGGAAAGUUUCGGCGGUUGGGGAUGGACUCGCGGCUUAUCAGCUUGUUGGUGGGGUAGUGGCUUACCAAGGCUUUGACGGGUAGCCGGCCUGAGAGGGUGACCGGCCACAUUGGGACUGAGAUACGGACCAGACUCCUACGGGAGGCAGCAGGGGGGAAUAUUGCGCAAUGGGCGGAAGCCUGAUGCAGCAACGCCGCGUGCGGGAUGACGGCCUUCGGGUUGUAAACCGCUUUCGCCUGUGACGAAGCGUGAGUGACGGUAAUGGGUAAAGAAGCACCGGCUAACUACGUG